Molecule: unclassified non-coding RNA, 217 nt
Filed under: Hevea brasiliensis (rubber tree)
Lineage: Eukaryota; Viridiplantae; Streptophyta; Magnoliopsida; Malpighiales; Euphorbiaceae
Source: RNAcentral
UCCCCAUAUAUGAAUGUGAUAGCAAAGAGGCUUCAUCAUCGUCCCCAGCCAGAUCCAAUGCUUCAUAUGCAUCUAAUUCCUCUUCAGGAUCAUCAGCCUCAAUGUCAACCUCACCUUCAUCAACAAUGUUUUGAUUUUCAUUUGUUUCAUCGCCUAUGACUUCUUUAUUAAUUUGCUGGUGUUCUUGAUCCAUUUUUAAGCCAUCUUUAUAAAUGCA